AAAAAAGGUAAGCUACUAAGAGCGAAUGGUGGAUGCCUUGACUGGUAAAGGCGAUGAAGGACGUACUAGACUGCGAUAAGCUACGGGGAGCUGUCAAGAAGCUUUGAUCCGUAGAUUUCCGAAUGGGGCAACCCAAUGUAUAGAGAUAUACAUUACCUAUAUAGGAGCGAACGAGGGGAAUUGAAACAUCUUAGUACCCUCAGGAAAAGAAAUCAAUAGAGAUUGCGUCAGUAGCGGCGAGCGAAAGCGCAAGAGGGCAAACCCAGUGCUUGCACUGGGGGUUGUAGGACUGCAAUGUGCAAGAGGUGAGUUUAGCAGAACAUUCUGGAAAGUAUAGCCAUAGAGGGUGAUAGUCCCGUAUGCGAAAAACAAACCUUAGCUAGCAGUAUCCUGAGUAGGGCGGGACACGAGAAAUCCUGUCUGAAGCUGGGUCGACCACGAUCCAACCCUAAAUACUAAUACCAGAUCGAUAGUGCACAAGUACCGUGAGGGAAAGGUGAAAAGAACUGAGGUGAUCAGAGUGAAAUAGAACCUGAAACCAUUUGCUUACAAUCAUUCAGAGCCCUAUGUAGCAAUACAGGGUGAUGGACUGCCUUUUGCAUAAUGAGCCUGCGAGUUGUGGUGUCUGGCAAGGUUAAGCAAACGCGAAGCCGUAGCGAAAGCGAGUCUGAAUAGGGCGCUUAGUCAGAUGCUGCAGACCCGAAACGAAGUGAUCUAUCCAUGAGCAAGUUGAAGCUAGUGUAAGAACUAGUGGAGGACUGAACCCAUAGGCGUUGAAAAGCCCCGGGAUGACUUGUGGAUAGGGGUGAAAGGCCAAUCAAACUUCGUGAUAGCUGGUUCUCUCCGAAAUAUAUUUAGGUAUAGCGUUGUGUCGUAAUAUAAGGGGGUAGAGCACUGAAUGGGCUAGGGCAUACACCAAUGUACCAAACCCUAUCAAACUCCGAAUACCUUAUAUGUAAUCACAGCAGUCAGGCGGCGAGUGAUAAAAUCCGUCGUCAAGAGGGAAACAACCCAGACUACCAGCUAAGGUCCCUAAAUCUUACUUAAGUGGAAAACGAUGUGAAGUUACUUAAACAACCAGGAGGUUGGCUUAGAAGCAGCCAUCCUUUAAAGAAAGCGUAAUAGCUCACUGGUCUAGUGAUUUUGCGCGGAAAAUAUAACGGGGCUAAAGUAAGUACCGAAGCUGUAGACUUGACUUUGUCAAGUGGUAGGAGAGCGUUCUAUUUGCGUCGAAGGUAUACCGGUAAGGAGUGCUGGAGCGAAUAGAAGUGAGCAUGCAGGCAUGAGUAGCGAUAAUUAAUGUGAGAAUCAUUAACGCCGUAAACCCAAGGUUUCCUACGCGAUGCUCGUCAUCGUAGGGUUAGUCGGGUCCUAAGUCGAGUCCGAAAGGGGUAGACGAUGGCAAAUUGGUUAAUAUUCCAAUACCAACAUUAGUGUGCGAUGGAAGGACGCUUAGGGCUAAGGGGGCUAGCGGAUGGAAGUGCUAGUCUAAGGUCGUAGGAGGUUAUACAGGCAAAUCCGUAUAACAAUACUCCGAGAACUGAAAGGCUUUUUGAAGUCUUCGGAUGGAUAGAAGAACCCCUGAUGCCAUCGAGCCAAGAAAAGUUUCUAAGUUUAGCUAAUGUUGCCCGUACCGUAAACCGACACAGGUGGGUGGGAUGAGUAUUCUAAGGCGCGUGGAAGAACUCUCUUUAAGGAACUCUGCAAAAUAGCACCGUAUCUUCGGUAUAAGGUGUGGUUCGCUUCGUAUUAGGAUUUACUCCGAAAGCGAAGAAACUUACAACAAAGAGUCCCUCCCGACUGUUUACCAAAAACACAGCACUCUGCUAACUCGUAAGAGGAUGUAUAGGGUGUGACGCCUGCCCGGUGCUCGAAGGUUAAUUGAUGGGGUUAGCAUUAGCGAAGCUCUUGAUCGAAGCCCGAGUAAACGGCGGCCGUAACUAUAACGGUCCUAAGGUAGCGAAAUUCCUUGUCGGUUAAAUACCGACCUGCAUGAAUGGCGUAACGAGAUGGGAGCUGUCUCAAAGAGGGAUCCAGUGAAAUUGUAGUGGAGGUGAAAAUUCCUCCUACCCGCGGCAAGACGGAAAGACCCCGUGGACCUUUACUACAGCUUGACACUGCUAUUUGGAUAAGAAUGUGCAGGAUAGGUGGGAGGCUUUGAGUAUAUGACGCCAGUUGUAUAUGAGCCAUUGUUGAGAUACCACUCUUUCUUAUUUGGGUAGCUAACCAGCUUGAGUUAUCCUCAAGUGGGACAAUGUCUGGUGGGUAGUUUGACUGGGGCGGUCGCCUCCCAAAUAAUAACGGAGGCUUACAAAGGUUGGCUCAGAACGGUUGGAAAUCGUUCGUAGAGUAUAAAGGUAUAAGCCAGCUUAACUGCAAGACAUACAAGUCAAGCAGAGACGAAAGUCGGUCUUAGUGAUCCGGUGGUUCUGUGUGGAAGGGCCAUCGCUCAAAGGAUAAAAGGUACCCCGGGGAUAACAGGCUGAUCUCCCCCAAGAGCUCACAUCGACGGGGAGGUUUGGCACCUCGAUGUCGGCUCAUCGCAUCCUGGGGCUGGAGCAGGUCCCAAGGGUAUGGCUGUUCGCCAUUUAAAGCGGUACGCGAGCUGGGUUCAGAACGUCGUGAGACAGUUCGGUCCCUAUCUGCCGUGGGCGUAAGAAGAUUGAAGAGAUUUGACCCUAGUACGAGAGGACCGGGUUGAACAAACCACUGGUGUAGCUGUUGUUCUGCCAAGAGCAUCGCAGCGUAGCUAAGUUUGGAAAGGAUAAACGCUGAAAGCAUCUAAGCGUGAAGCCAACUCUAAGAUGAAUCUUCUCUAAGCUCUCUAGAAGACUACUAGUUUGAUAGGCUGGGUGUGUAAUGGAUGAAAGUCCUUUAGCUGACCAGUACUAAUAGAGCGUUUGGCUUAUCUUUAAUAAAGCAU
Molecule: ribosomal RNA, 2923 nt
Filed under: Campylobacter coli
Lineage: Bacteria; Pseudomonadati; Campylobacterota; Epsilonproteobacteria; Campylobacterales; Campylobacteraceae
Description: 23S ribosomal RNA
Rfam family: Bacterial large subunit ribosomal RNA
Source: RNAcentral